Molecule: ribosomal RNA, 1079 nt
Filed under: Halomonas sp. NB22
Lineage: Bacteria; Pseudomonadati; Pseudomonadota; Gammaproteobacteria; Oceanospirillales; Halomonadaceae
Description: bacterial SSU rRNA
Rfam family: Bacterial small subunit ribosomal RNA
Source: RNAcentral
UACCUUCGGCGGCCUACACAUGCAGUCGAGCGGUAACAGGGGUAGCUUGCUACCCGCUGACGAGCGGCGGACGGGUGAGUAAUGCAUAGGAAUCUGCCCGAUAGUGGGGGAUAACCUGGGGAAACCCAGGCUAAUACCGCAUACGUCCUACGGGAGAAAGGGGGCUCCGGCUCCCGCUAUUGGAUGAGCCUAUGUCGGAUUAGCUAGUUGGUGAGGUAAAGGCUCACCAAGGCGACGAUCCGUAGCUGGUCUGAGAGGAUGAUCAGCCACAUCGGGACUGAGACACGGCCCGAACUCCUACGGGAGGCAGCAGUGGGGAAUAUUGGACAAUGGGCGAAAGCCUGAUCCAGCCAUGCCGCGUGUGUGAAGAAGGCCCUCGGGUUGUAAAGCACUUUCAGCGAGGAAGAACGCCUAGUGGUUAAUACCCAUUAGGAAAGACAUCACUCGCAGAAGAAGCACCGGCUAACUCCGUGCCAGCAGCCGCGGUAAUACGGAGGGUGCAAGCGUUAAUCGGAAUUACUGGGCGUAAAGCGCGCGUAGGUGGCUUGAUAAGCCGGGUUGUGAAAGCCCCGGGCUCAACCUGGGAACGGCAUCCGGGAACUGUCAAGCUAGAGUGCAGGAGAGGAAGGUAGAAAUUCCCGGUGUAGCGGUGAAAUGCGUAGAGAUCGGGGAGGAAUACCAGUGGCGAAGGCGGCCUUCUGGACUGAACACUGAAACUGAGGUGGCGAAAGCGGUGGGUAGCAAACAGAUUAAGAAUAACCCUGGUAGUCCACCGCCGUAAACGAUGUCGACAGCCGUGGGUGGCUAGCGCACUUGUGGGGGCGAAGUUAACGCGAUAAGUCGACCGCCUGGGGAGAUACGCCGCAAGUAAACUCAAUGGAAUGACGGGGCCCGCACAAGCGGUGGAGACACUUGUGGGGUUUAAUUCCAGUGCACCGGAGAAACUACCUACUCUUGACAUCUGCUCCUUGGGGAGAAUACACUGGGCCUCAGAACCGAGACCGGGCUGCUAUGUCUGCUCACGACCUGUGUGGUAAAGUGUGUUAUCCACAGCCACACUUUGUCUUAUGGCACGCUAG